GGUUGUGGCUCAGUGGUAGAAUGCUCACCUAGGAUGCGUGAGGCACUGGGUUAGAUCCUCAGCACCA
This 67-nucleotide transfer RNA is filed under the name Marmota monax (woodchuck). RNAcentral's name for it is "tRNA.Pro". Lineage: Eukaryota; Metazoa; Chordata; Mammalia; Rodentia; Sciuridae. The record is from RNAcentral.